This 773-nucleotide ribosomal RNA is filed under the name uncultured bacterium. RNAcentral describes it as "bacterial SSU rRNA". It matches the Rfam family "Bacterial small subunit ribosomal RNA", at positions 8 to 798 of the family's 1533-position model. The record is from RNAcentral.
AGAGUUUGAUCCUGGCUCAGGACGAACGCUGGCGGCGUGCUUAACACAUGCAAGUCGAACGGAAAGGCCCUUCGGGGUACUCGAGUGGCGAACGGGUGAGUAACACGUGGGUGAUCUGCCCUGCACUUUGGGAUAAGCCUGGGAGACUGGGUCUAAUACCGAAUAGGACCGCGCUCUUCAUGGGGUGUGGUGGAAAGCUUUUGCGGUGUGGGAUGGGCCCGCGGCCUAUCAGCUUGUUGGUGGGGUAAUGGCCUACCAAGGCGACGACGGGUAGCCGGCCUGAGAGGGUGACCGGCCACACUGGGACUGAGAUACGGCCCAGACUCCUACGGGAGGCAGCAGUGGGGAAUAUUGCACAAUGGGCGCAAGCCUGAUGCAGCGACGCCGCGUGAGGGAUGACGGCCUUCGGGUUGUAAACCUCUUUCAAUAGGGACGAAGCGCAAGUGACGGUACCUAUAGAAGAAGGACCGGCCAACUACGUGCCAGCAGCCGCGGUAAUACGUAGGGUCCGAGCGUUGUCCGGAAUUACUGGGCGUAAAGAGCUCGUAGGUGGUUUGUCGCGUUGUUCGUGAAAACUCACAGCUUAACUGUGGGCGUGCGGGCGAUACGGGCAGACUAGAGUACUGCAGGGGAGACUGGAAUACCUGGUGUAGCGGUGGAAUGCGCAGAUAUCAGGAGGAACACCGGUGGCGAAGGCGGGUCUCUGGGCAGUAACUGACGCUGAGGAGCGAAAGCGUGGGGAGCGAACAGGAUUAGAUACCCUGGUAGUCCAA